UACAGAGGGUGCGAGCGUUGUCCGGAAUCACUGGGCGUAAAGGGCGCGUAGGUGGCGACCCAAGUCGAUGGUGAAAGCUCGCCGCUCAACGGCGAGUCGGCCACCGAUACUGGGUUGCUGGAGCACUGUAGAGGCAGAUGGAAUUCCGGGUGUAGCGGUGGAAAUGCGUAGAGAUCCGGAGGAACACCGAUGGCGAAGGCAGGUCUCUGGGCCAUUACUGACACGUG
Molecule: ribosomal RNA, 227 nt
Filed under: uncultured bacterium
Lineage: Bacteria
Description: partial 16S ribosomal RNA
Rfam family: Bacterial small subunit ribosomal RNA
Source: RNAcentral